Molecule: ribosomal RNA, 521 nt
Filed under: Serratia marcescens
Lineage: Bacteria; Pseudomonadati; Pseudomonadota; Gammaproteobacteria; Enterobacterales; Yersiniaceae
Also listed under: 1 other name
Description: bacterial SSU rRNA
Rfam family: Bacterial small subunit ribosomal RNA
Source: RNAcentral
UGGUGCCUUCGGGAACUCUGAGACAGGUGCUGCAUGGCUGUCGUCAGCUCGUGUUGUGAAAUGUUGGGUUAAGUCCCGCAACGAGCGCAACCCUUAUCCUUUGUUGCCAGCGGUUCGGCCGGGAACUCAAAGGAGACUGCCAGUGAUAAACUGGAGGAAGGUGGGGAUGACGUCAAGUCAUCAUGGCCCUUACGAGUAGGGCUACACACGUGCUACAAUGGCAUAUACAAAGAGAAGCGACCUCGCGAGAGCAAGCGGACCUCAUAAAGUAUGUCGUAGUCCGGAUUGGAGUCUGCAACUCGACUCCAUGAAGUCGGAAUCGCUAGUAAUCGUAGAUCAGAAUGCUACGGUGAAUACGUUCCCGGGCCUUGUACACACCGCCCGUCACACCAUGGGAGUGGGUUGCAAAAGAAGUAGGUAGCUUAACCUUCGGGAGGGCGCUUACCACUUUGUGAUUCAUGACUGGGGUGAAGUCGUAACAAGGUAACCGUAGGGGAACCUGCGGUUGGAUCACCUCCUUA